UACGUAGGGUGCAAGCGUUAAUCGGAAUUACUGGGCGUAAAGCGUGCGCAGGCGGCUUUGCAAGACAGAUGUGAAAUCCCCGGGCUUAACCUGGGAACUGCAUUUGUGACUGUAAGGCUAGAGUACGGCAGAGGGGGAUGGAAUUCCGCGUGUAGCAGUGAAAUGCGUAGAUAUGCGGAGGAACACCGAUGGCGAAGGCAAUCCCCUGGGCCUGUACUGACGCUCAUGCACGAAAGCGUGGGGAGCAAACAGG
RNAcentral lists this ribosomal RNA (253 nucleotides) under uncultured bacterium. RNAcentral's name for it is "partial 16S ribosomal RNA". It matches the Rfam family "Bacterial small subunit ribosomal RNA", at positions 524 to 776 of the family's 1533-position model. The record is from RNAcentral.